GCGAAAGUGGCGGAACUGGCAGACGCGCAGGAUUCAGGAUCCUGUGGGGUCACACCCGUGGGGGUUCAAGUCCCCCCUUUCGCA
RNAcentral lists this transfer RNA (84 nucleotides) under Binatia bacterium. Its description in RNAcentral is "tRNA-Leu". It matches the Rfam family "tRNA". From Rfam's summary of the family: Transfer RNA (tRNA) molecules are approximately 80 nucleotides in length. The record is from RNAcentral. Lineage: Bacteria; Candidatus Binatota; Binatia (SeqCode).